AAUUUUCAACCUCUUCCUUUUCUUUCAAAAAGAAAGACGGCUUGGACUUCUGGAAGUUGCUGGCGUUGCAUUAGCAUUAGUUCAGCUCUUCUCAAACCUAUUAGCACGGUUGCUUCUGGUUAAUCCCUUGGUAUGAUAAUUAUCUAUGCCUUUUGGAAUUUCUGGACGUUCGGCACUGCGCUUCCAAUUGUCUGCAAAGACAAACUUUGAACAA
Molecule: unclassified non-coding RNA, 214 nt
Filed under: uncultured Entoloma
Lineage: Eukaryota; Fungi; Basidiomycota; Agaricomycetes; Agaricales; Entolomataceae
Description: sequence contains ITS2
Source: RNAcentral